UACGGAGGACCCAAGGGUAAUCCGGAAUCAUUGGGUUUAAAGGGUCCGUAGGCGGUUUAUUAAGUCAGUGGUGAAAGCCCAUCGCUCAACGGUGGAACGGCCAUUGAUACUGUUAAACUUGAAUUAUUAGGAAGUAACUAGAAUAUGUAGUGUAGCGGUGAAAUGCUUAGAGAUUACAUGGAAUACCAAUUGCGAAGGCAGGUUACUACUAAUGGAUUGACGCUGAUGGACGAAAGCGUGGGUAGCGAACAGG
RNAcentral lists this ribosomal RNA (253 nucleotides) under uncultured bacterium. Its description in RNAcentral is "partial 16S ribosomal RNA". It matches the Rfam family "Bacterial small subunit ribosomal RNA", at positions 524 to 776 of the family's 1533-position model. The record is from RNAcentral.